Molecule: ribosomal RNA, 661 nt
Filed under: Debaryomyces hansenii
Lineage: Eukaryota; Fungi; Ascomycota; Pichiomycetes; Serinales; Debaryomycetaceae
Description: LSU rRNA
Rfam family: Eukaryotic large subunit ribosomal RNA
Source: RNAcentral
ACCACGGGGGUAUGGCCUGUAGUAACGGCGAAGUGAAGCGGCAAAAGCUCAAAUUUGAAAUCUGGCACCUUCGGUGUCCGAGUUGUAAUUUGAAGAAGGUAACUUUGGAGUUGGCUCUUGUCUAUGUUCCUUGGAACAGGACGUCACAGAGGGUGAGAAUCCCGUGCGAUGAGAUGCCCAAUUCUAUGUAAAGUGCUUUCGAAGAGUCGAGUUGUUUGGGAAUGCAGCUCUAAGUGGGUGGUAAAUUCCAUCUAAAGCUAAAUAUUGGCGAGAGACCGAUAGCGAACAAGUACAGUGAUGGAAAGAUGAAAAGAACUUUGAAAAGAGAGUGAAAAAGUACGUGAAAUUGUUGAAAGGGAAGGGCUUGAGAUCAGACUUGGUAUUUUGCGAUCCUUUCCUUCUUGGUUGGGUUCCUCGCAGCUUACUGGGCCAGCAUCGGUUUGGAUGGUAGGAUAAUGACUAAGGAAUGUGGCUCUACUUCGGUGGAGUGUUAUAGCCUUGGUUGAUACUGCCUGUCUAGACCGAGGACUGCGUCUUUUGACUAGGAUGUUGGCAUAAUGAUCUUUAACCCACACCUCUUUAACCCCCUAACCAAAAAAAACCUAGUUUAGUUGUUUUCUUUGUAAAUUUUUCUGUACCGACGCUGCCUGGAAACCACGCG